GAGAUAUCCCAUGGCUGCCUAAAUGCCGUGACACUCGUUGCAAUGGGGUCCGCCAGAUAACAUCAAGCCGUGUCAUUUUGUUGUACUGCUAUCGAGUCUACAGUGUAAGCUAGAGCUGUUUGCCCCAAUCAACACCUAAGCGAAUAACUCGAACGGAUUAGAGCACCUAGAAAGUUUUGAACGGAAAGCAAGAUUUCGCGCGAGCGUUUUGCUAUCGCAAAAGACCUCAAGCCACCCACACGGGCUCAUUGAAGCGUCCCCAGAGCUCCCGUCCUUCCAGACACAUCUCAGCGCAAUCCAGCUCCUCGGGCGAGCCAGGGAUCUCAUCGCUCUCGAAACUUUGCGCAGUGGGCUCUUCGUCCUCUGAAGUCUUAAACCGCUUAGGUGAUGAUGAUGGAGGACGAUGGCUUUCGCUUUCUGAGCUUCUCUCGCGAUUUCUUUUCAGAUCUACAGAGACGAAUUUUAAAAAAAUGUCAGAUUGUGUUAUCAGCUCUAGAUGAACACACAUGAAGUUUUCACUUCGACUGGAUUUAACCUUAAAAGUAUUGUGUAUCCCUAGAGUACUAGAGGCGGUUAAAUACAUUUACCUUCACUGGAC
This is a long non-coding RNA of Nematostella vectensis (starlet sea anemone), 598 nucleotides long. RefSeq lists it as uncharacterized. The record is from RefSeq and is a predicted model, not a curated record. Lineage: Eukaryota; Metazoa; Cnidaria; Anthozoa; Actiniaria; Edwardsiidae. The transcript has 3 exons.